This 253-nucleotide ribosomal RNA is filed under the name uncultured bacterium. RNAcentral describes it as "partial 16S ribosomal RNA". It matches the Rfam family "Bacterial small subunit ribosomal RNA", at positions 524 to 776 of the family's 1533-position model. The record is from RNAcentral.
AACGUAGGUGGCAAGCGUUAUCCGGAUUCAUUGGGCGUAAAGCGCGUGCAGGUGGCUUUGUAAGUUGGACGUUAAAUCUCCCAGCCUAACUGGGAGUGGUCGUUCAAUACUGCGAGGCUUGAGGGCAGAAGAGGGGGGUGGAAUUGCUGGUGUAGUGGUGAAAUGCGUAGAUAUCAGCAGGAACACCUGUGGCGAAAGCGGCCCCCUGGUUUGCUCCUGACACUCAGACGCGAAAGCUAGGGGAGUGAACGGG